CUCAGAACUAAAAUGUUACUUAUUUGCUCCAGAUACUCAUUUUAAAUGAUGUAGUCUGUCCACUCGAGAUUAGGAGUCUUUUUCGAUUAAGCAAUAGUGGUGGAACUGUGAACCCAGACAGCAGAGCAGGACAGUGGGAGGAGCUAUAGGAGGACGGCCUCAUUGUACUGGCUGAUCUGUUGUACCAUGAAAGGCAGAGGAGAGCAAACAUUAGAUCAUGUAAAGACUGGAACUAUCCUUAGCAUUACUGAAACAUCAACAGGCAGAGUGAGACAGAUAUGAUGCUGGCUGUGUGUGUCACUGUUGUCCUGGGCCUUCUCUCAGUGAGUGGCUCCCAGGCGGCCCCUUUAACCUGUGAGGAUCUCCUGAGACCACUGGAGCUGAGCAGUGUCACUCAGACUCUGGGGAAGUGGAUGUAUAUUGCUGAGAGUUCAGACCGUCCUUUCUGGGAACAAAUACUGUAUACCUUAUUACACAGUGCCUGGAUAGAGAUCUCUGUGCCGGUCGGUACCCAGAACAACAUUCUUGACAUCGCCCAGUUCAUUGGCUUCGGUAUUCCACAUCAAAAUACUUUUGGAUUCGGAUGCUCCAGGAUCAACUCUAACUUUACUCUGCAUGACAAUAACACAUGGACCUCAGUGACCCCCAUCCCUGUUACUGAGGUUCUCCUGCCAACGUGCUCAGACUGCCUCCUGACCCUGGAGAGAUGGGAUGAGGAUGGGAAGACCUUCACCUCUCUAACACUCUACAGUAGGAGACGGGAGCUCACUGCUACUGAACUGGACUUCUAUAAGAAACAGGUGGAUUGUCUCAGUCUGCCACCAGCGACAUUCAUGGAUCCACAGAAAGAUCUCUGUCGCGACACAACUCCACUCUUAGAAGAUCAAAUUGCGAAGGAAGUUGAGAAUGCAGUUGAACUUAUUUCAGAGAUUCCAAGAAUGCUCAGAAAUGCAUUUGAAGAAUUAAAGAAUUCUGUUUAUCAGCCAUUUUCUGACAUUUUCGGUUAAUGAGUAGUUGCCUCCUCAUCCCUGAUUGGUUUGCUAAUCAAUAUGUGGGCAACAGUAACCCAGGGUUACAGUACCUAACCCAGCAAGCCUGUAAACAGUCCCUGAUGCCUUGAUGUGGGACCAAACUCCACUCUGCUAAUGUUGCUCUACAUUCAACACAAUAAAUCCAGAUUAAGACAAA
Oncorhynchus masou masou (cherry salmon) is the source of this 1188-nucleotide long non-coding RNA. RefSeq lists it as uncharacterized. The record is from RefSeq and is a predicted model, not a curated record. The transcript is spliced from 2 exons. Lineage: Eukaryota; Metazoa; Chordata; Actinopteri; Salmoniformes; Salmonidae.